CGCGUGUCCGGGUGGGGCCGAGGAAGCCUCUGGCUGCGGGCAGGUGCCCGGUGACCUGGCUCCACGGGACCUUGGCAGGUUAUCCCGCUGCCGCCGAGCUGGCUGUGUGCUCCACGCUGGGGUCGGGGUCUUGGGGCAGGUCACACUGGACACAAGGCUUGUGCGGUGGCAUUUUCACGCUGCUCCUGUAGUCAAUCGCCAGCUCUCAGCAGGGAACACCAGGGUCCUAUGGGCGCCGCUGUGCACACCGUCAUUCGUUCAGCGCAGGCUUCCGGAGCACCCUAAGGAGCAGUCCUCGGGGCUGGAUUCAGAGUGGGCUGCCAGUCAGCUCUAG
This 334-nucleotide long non-coding RNA is filed under the name Chinchilla lanigera (long-tailed chinchilla). RNAcentral's name for it is "lncRNA (ENSCLAG00000026156.1)". The record is from RNAcentral. Lineage: Eukaryota; Metazoa; Chordata; Mammalia; Rodentia; Chinchillidae.